This 458-nucleotide ribosomal RNA is filed under the name uncultured bacterium. RNAcentral describes it as "partial 16S ribosomal RNA". It matches the Rfam family "Bacterial small subunit ribosomal RNA", at positions 30 to 507 of the family's 1533-position model. The record is from RNAcentral.
AGCGAACGCUGGCGGCAGGCCUAACACAUGCAAGUCGAACGAACUCUUCGGAGUUAGUGGCGGACGGGUGAGUAACACGUGGGAACGUGCCUUUAGGUUCGGAAUAACUCAGGGAAACUUGUGCUAAUACCGAAUGUGCCCUUCGGGGGAAAGAUUUAUCGCCUUUAGAGCGGCCCGCGUCUGAUUAGCUAGUUGGUGAGGUAAAGGCUCACCAAGGCGACGAUCAGUAGCUGGUCUGAGAGGAUGAUCAGCCACAUUGGGAACGAGACACGGCCCAAACGACGAAGGGAGGCAGCAGUAGGGAAUAUGGGGGAAUGGGCGCAAGCCGGAUCAAGCAAGACAGCGUGAGUGAAGAAGGUCUUAGGGUUGGAAAACACGUGGGGGGGGAAAGAAAAGAAGCGGGGGAAUACACUGAGGGUCGGAAGGGACCCAAAGAAGAAGCAACGGAGAAAUUAGGG